CCAGACUCCUACGGGAGGCAGCAGUGGGGAAUAUUGCACAAUGGGGGAAACCCUGAUGCAGCGACGCCGCGUGAAGGAAGAAGUAUUUCGGUAUGUAAACUUCUAUCAGCAGGGAAGAAAAUGACGGUACCUGACUAAGAAGCCCCGGCUAACUACGUGCCAGCAGCCGCGGUAAUACGUAGGGGGCAAGCGUUAUCCGGAUUUACUGGGUGUAAAGGGAGCGUAGGCGGUUUAGCAAGUCAGAAGUGAAAGCCCGGGGCUCAACCCCGGGACUGCAUUUGGAACUGUAAGGCUAGAGUGUCGGAGAGGCGGGCGGAAUUCCUAGUGUAGCGGUGAAAUGCGUAGAUAUUAGGAGGAACACCAGUGGCGAAGGCGGCCUGCUGGACGAUGACUGACGUUGAGGCUCGAAAGCGUGGGAGCAAACAGGAUUAGAUACCCCAGUAA
This 444-nucleotide ribosomal RNA is filed under the name uncultured bacterium. RNAcentral's name for it is "bacterial SSU rRNA". It matches the Rfam family "Bacterial small subunit ribosomal RNA", at positions 331 to 793 of the family's 1533-position model. The record is from RNAcentral.